This 253-nucleotide ribosomal RNA is filed under the name uncultured bacterium. RNAcentral describes it as "partial 16S ribosomal RNA". It matches the Rfam family "Bacterial small subunit ribosomal RNA", at positions 524 to 776 of the family's 1533-position model. The record is from RNAcentral.
UACGUAAGUGGCGAGCGUUAUCCGGAAUUACUGGGCGUAAAGGGCCAGUAGGCGGCCAACUAAGUCCGACGUGAAAUCCCAAGGCUUAACCUUGGAACUGCGUCGGAUACUGGAUGGCUUGAAUUCGGGAGAGGGAUGCAGAAUUCCAGGUGUAGCGGUGAAAUGCGUAGAUAUCUGGAGGAAUACCGGUGGCGAAGGCGGCAUCCUGGACCGACAUUGACGCUGAACGGCGAAAGCUAGGGGAGCAAACGGG